This 911-nucleotide long non-coding RNA is filed under the name Zostera marina. RNAcentral's name for it is "long non-coding RNA (ZMAR_LNC001912)". Lineage: Eukaryota; Viridiplantae; Streptophyta; Magnoliopsida; Alismatales; Zosteraceae. The record is from RNAcentral.
GAAUUUGUGAUAUAUAAUUGAUAAUAGAGAAAAUAGAAAUGAUUAGGCAAUUCAAAUUUGAAUUGAAAUUUGUAAUUUUAAUUAUAAUUAUACAGCCUACACCAAAGGUAGGAUCAAAUGAUUGAUUUAUUUAAAUAUAUUAUAUUGACUUUAGGAUCUUGCUCGCAUUUUCAUUGACAUGUUUUUAAAAUCAUUAAAACAGGUUGAAUCCGCCACCUCCACCACCACCGCCUCCGCCUCCUCCUCCUCCACCUCCACUUCCAGAACCGGCACCAAAUCCUGAGCCACUACCAGAACCAGAACCACCGUUAGUAUUUCCAUUACCACCUCCACCCCCAUUUCCACCUCCUCCUCCAAAUCCGCCAUCAGAUCCAAAACCGUAUCCAGAACCCGCUCCGGAUCCAAAUCCCCAUCCCCACCCUUUUUGACUCGGAGGUGGAGGAGAGUUGAUAACCGGUGGUGAGACAGAUGGAGGGCUCAUUAUAGGUGGUGAGACAGAUGGAGGGCUCAUUAUAGGUGGUGAGACAGAUGGAGGGCUCAUUAUAGGUGGUGAGACAGAUGGAGGGCUCAUUAUAGGUGGUGAGGCUGAUGGAGGAGAGUUAACUGGUGGUGGAACUGACGGCGGAGAGUUGGGACCAGAAGUUACUAUCGUGGCAGUGCCAGAACCAGUACCCGUACCCCCACCACUACCUCCAGCCACACCACCACCUCUUCCACCACCAAUUCCUCGUCCCCCAACAAAAAAUCCACCAUCUCCCGAACUACCAGCAUUAGCAAAACCCCCGCCAAUUCCAGCUCCAAAGCCAGAUGAGCCAGGAUCAUUAGUACUAGUACCUCCACCACCACCGCUACCGCUACCACUAGCCGAGAAGGUGGAUAAGAGUCGAGAGGCACAUACCAUAUUGGAAGAA